CAGCUGACUCCAAGGCAGGAACAUCAUGGCCGAGCAAAGCUGCUUACUUCUUAGCAUCUGAAAAGCAGAGCAAGGCAGCAGCAGAGAACAGUGAAGGGAAUGGAUGCAUUACCCAAAGCCACGUCUCUAUGGUCCACUCAGAUGCACCCAGAUCCGAAGGAUUCAGUCAAGGCUCGAAGCCCUGGAGCUCACUGUAGAGUCCCUCUCGAGUCUGCGUAAGGAGGCUGAAGGUUCUGCAAUGGAAGCUGAAGAAUCCUCACUGGAAGCCAGGAGAUGAUGUCCACAGCGAAGGUGAAGACUGGAGCUCCUCCAAAAAAAACAGAGCAGCUCAUCCUACUGACUUCUGCACUUGAUUGUAGCCAAGAGGCUGAGAAGCGGUCCUGCUGACUUCCAAAUGGGAAUAUUUGUGGUACAUUUCAGUUCCUUCCUCUCUCAUCUACCUCUUCCAGCUUCAGCAAAUGGUCAAUUAUGCUUCUAAAAUGUUCCUUUUGGAGCUUAUACUCCCAGUUAUAGACAUGUAAUAAACUUUAUUUGUUCCUUGUCCUGUUAAAAAUAAAAAUAUACACAAAAUGUUAUUUUAUCUAUAUUUAUUCCUAUAUCACUUGCUCCUGCAGUAUUUCAUAAAUAU
Molecule: long non-coding RNA, 628 nt
Filed under: Heterocephalus glaber (naked mole-rat)
Lineage: Eukaryota; Metazoa; Chordata; Mammalia; Rodentia; Bathyergidae
Description: lncRNA (ENSHGLG00100039369.1)
Source: RNAcentral